CUUGUCCUACGGGAGGCAGCAGUGGGGAAUAUUGCACAAUGGGGGAAACCCUGAUGCAGCGACGCCGCGUGAGUGAAGAAGCGUUUUGGCGCGUAAAGCUCUGUCAGCGGGGAAGAAACACGGUUCGCGAGAGCCGCGGACGGUACCCGACCAAGAAGCCCCGGCUAACUACGUGCCAGCAGCCGCGGUAAUACGUAGGGGGCAAGCGUUAUCCGGAUUCACUGGGUGUAAAGGGAGCGUAGACGGCGAGACAAGUCUGGAGUGAAAGGACGGGGCCCAACCCCGGGACUGAUCUGGAAACUGCC
This 305-nucleotide ribosomal RNA is filed under the name uncultured bacterium. RNAcentral describes it as "bacterial SSU rRNA". It matches the Rfam family "Bacterial small subunit ribosomal RNA", at positions 333 to 637 of the family's 1533-position model. The record is from RNAcentral.